GAUGACCGCUGGCGGCGUUCCUAAUACAUGCAAGUCGAGCGAACAUACUAGUAGCCUUCACCUCUGACGUUAGCGUCGGACGGGUGCGUAACACGUGGAUAACCUAUCUUUAAUAUUGGAAUAACUUCGUGAAACCGCAGCUAUUACCGGAUAAUAUAUUGAACCUCUUGUUUCUCUAUUCCAAGACGGUUUUGCUAUCACUUAUACAUGUCUCCGCGCCGCAUUAGCUAGUUGGUAAGGUAACGGCUUACCAAGGCAACGAUGCGUAGCCGACCUGAGAGGGUGAUCGGCCACACUGGAACUGAGACACGGUCCAGACGCCUAAGGGAGGCAGAAGGAGGGAAGGAAGCGCAGUGAGGGAAAGACGGACGAAAAAACGCAGCGGGAGUGAGAAAGGUCUACGGAUCGUAAAAAUCGCUUAAUAGGGAGGAAGGAAAGAAGAAAGAACUAUAAAAGACUAGACGAGACAUGAGCAGAAAGAAAAGGAUAACUACGUG
This 497-nucleotide ribosomal RNA is filed under the name uncultured bacterium. RNAcentral's name for it is "partial 16S ribosomal RNA". It matches the Rfam family "Bacterial small subunit ribosomal RNA", at positions 28 to 507 of the family's 1533-position model. The record is from RNAcentral.